This 733-nucleotide ribosomal RNA is filed under the name uncultured Acidobacteriota bacterium. RNAcentral's name for it is "bacterial SSU rRNA". It matches the Rfam family "Bacterial small subunit ribosomal RNA", at positions 61 to 826 of the family's 1533-position model. The record is from RNAcentral. Lineage: Bacteria; Pseudomonadati; Acidobacteriota.
GUCGAACGAGAAAGUGGAGCAAUCCAUGAGUAAAGUGGCGCACGGGUGAGUAACACGUGACUAACCUACCCUUGAGUGGGGAAUAACUUCGGGAAACCGAGGCUAAUACCGCAUAACACCUACGGGUCAAAGGAGCAAUUCGCUUAAGGAGGGGGUCGCGGCAGAUUAGUUAGUUGGCGGGGUAAUGGCCCACCAAGACAGUGAUCUGUAUCCGGCCUGAGAGGGCGCACGGACACACUGGAACUGAAACACGGUCCAGACUCCUACGGGAGGCAGCAGUGGGGAAUUUUGCGCAAUGGGGGAAACCCUGACGCAGCAACGCCGCGUGGAGGAUGAAGUCUCUUGGGACGUAAACUCCUUUCGAUCGGGACGAUAAUGACGGUACCGGAAGAAGAAGCCCCGGCUAACUUUGUGCCAGCAGCCGCGGUAAUACGAGGGGGGCGAGCGUUGUUCGGAAUUAUUGGGCGUAAAGGGUGCGUAGGCGGUUCGGUAAGUCUUGUGUGAAAUCUUCGGGCUCAACUCGAAGUCUGCACGAGAAACUGCCGGGCUUGAGUGUGGGAGAGGUGAGUGGAAUUUCCGGUGUAGCGGUGAAAUGCGUAGAUAUCGGAAGGAACACCUGUGGCGAAAGCGGCUCACUGGACCACAACUGACGCUGAGGCACGAAAGCUAGGGGAGCAAACAGGAUUAGAUACCCUGGUAGUCCUAGCCCUAAACGAUGAUCGCUUGGUGUGAC